RNAcentral lists this ribosomal RNA (253 nucleotides) under uncultured bacterium. RNAcentral's name for it is "partial 16S ribosomal RNA". It matches the Rfam family "Bacterial small subunit ribosomal RNA", at positions 524 to 776 of the family's 1533-position model. The record is from RNAcentral.
GACAGAGGGUGCAAACGUUGUUCGGAAUUACUGGGCGUAAAGCGCGUGUAGGCGGCUCUGCAAGUCGGGUGUGAAAUCCCAUGGCUCAACCAUGGAAGUGCACUCGAAACUGCAGGGCUAGAGUCCUGGAGAGGAAGGUGGAAUGCUUGGUGUAGAGGUGAAAUUCGUAGAUAUCAAGCGGAACACCGGUGGCGAAGGCGGCCUUCUGGACAGUGACUGACGCUGAGGCGCGAAAGCCAGGGGAGCAAACGGG